Molecule: long non-coding RNA, 1159 nt
Filed under: Salvator merianae (Argentine black and white tegu)
Lineage: Eukaryota; Metazoa; Chordata; Lepidosauria; Squamata; Teiidae
Description: lncRNA (ENSSMRG00000015596.1)
Source: RNAcentral
CAAGUACAAUGCAUGUUUACAACAGCUGGUUGCCUUGCCUUCGAGUGCUGACUAUAGGCUCCUGCACGCAAAGGAAUUGUACUAUAGCAACCACACCUUGCAUAUGCUUCCUUGAACUUCCCGGAAAGGCAAAACACCAGAGGUUCCAGGUAACCUCGGCGCAGAGAAUCGUAGCUUUUGAAGAUAGAAGGGGGCGAAGGAAGAGGGAGGUAGAAUGCUUUGUGCCUGAAUCGCCAAGUCCUUCCAUAGAAGUGAUUCCUUUCGGAACUCAAACAUGUUCAUCUACAUUUCUAAGCUAUCUUCGAAAGAAAAGCUGCCAUCGGAACAGAAUACCGGCGAAGAUCAGGAAUGGUUGUGCUUCGCAAAUGUAAGCAGCAGGCUCCUCCUAGCGGCCAGAAUGAGUCACUGCUGGAGACGUGAUGUUUCGUGACAGAUACUGGUGUGGCUACGUGGGUGUGUACGGGCACGAAUGCACAACUGUCUCUUCUGUCUGGCCCGUUGCUGACAAGUGUGUGAAUGCUGCUGGCUUAGGUAGACCUGCACGAAUAGCCUCCUCUUUUCUCCAUACCUUCGUCCUACGAAAGCCACUGGUAUUUGCUGAACAGCUUGCUCUGUUGCUUUUUUUUUUUUUUUUUUUUUUUAAGCUUUUGCCUCCUCGUUGUACUAUAGGAAGCUGCCCUGCUGGGCGGGUGUUUUAAUUUGACUUGUAAGGCAACUCAUUCAUGUUCCAAAACCAGCGUGAAACCUGAACUCUGCCUCAUACUAGGAUUGCCCGGUCGUUUGUCCCUGAAGGCAGUUCCUUUCCUCUUCCUAGUCUUUCCUCCCUUUUGAGUGAACUUCCCGUUCCUCGGUAACAUCCACCGUUCUACAGUGAAAAGCUGCUACAUAAGCAGCUUGCCUCGCCCAAGGACUUCUCGGAAGCGCCGCGGACCAACUGGCGAGUCAUACAGCACACAUGUUGCCCACUGCGGUCUACCGCCAGAGGGCACAUUACCGGUCGCCACCCCUGCCAGUCAAAUGUCAUUGCACCGUGUGGGAAGGAAAAGCUGCCUAAGCCAUGGCAGUCUACCAUUUUCGUCUCAAAUUUGAGCCAAUCACUUCUUCUCUCCCCAGCUGGGUGUUGUAGUAUUUGCACCAUGCCUAGCUGGACUUAUUUUGU